CCGUCUGCCCCAAAGUAUUUUAGAGAGCAAGAGCGUGUGAGAAUCUUAAUCACAGAGCUGUCUUCUCUUGCAGACUCCCGCCAGCAGAUGACAUCUUUGGCGUGACAAAUGGGAACUUCACGGCGUAGGUUUCAUUCGGGAGUCAGACGUGCGUUUUGAAAGAGGAACAAUGAAUAUUUAGCCACGACUCAUUCGUGCCUCUCCAUGUAAUGGACAAACGUGAAAGAGUACAAUUUCAUCCAGAGCAUGAAGUCGGCAGCCCGUAAGUGGGUUGUUUCGCGUGCAGCUGUAGCUGGAGGAAUUCCUCGGCUCAGUUAUUUGCUCUUGUCAAGCGUGACAACUUGUUAAAAAGUGUGAGGGAAGCCCCCAGCAGUUUUCCGCUGGCAUGUAAAAUGUUCGCAUUUCUUCACACUCUGAAAAAAAGAAAAUUGUACAGCAGACAUGUGGACGGCAGAGUCAUGUUGGAGAGUUGUUGACCAAGGUGAUGGGAGCUAUCAGCUCGCCUGCCUCAAGCUCCGGGACCUCCUAAAUCCAAGGAGAAGCCCUGGCAAGCGGAAGAAGCAAUCUCCCGCUCUCCGACUCGCUCCUCCGACCCCGCCAGUACCGGCCCCGAGACUUCAGGCCCCGACCCUCCGGUACCGGCCCCGAGACUCCCGACCCCUCCGGUCCCCGCUCCCCGAGACUCCCGACUCCUCCGGUCCCCGCUCCCUGAGACUCCCGACUCUUCCAAUUUUGUGAAUGCGCUGAAUGACAUCUGCCCUCUGUGUUGCGUUUAAGCAGAUAAGCCCGUAAAAAAUUAACAGUUUUGUUUUAAGCCUAGUACUCUUGACAAAAAUAUCUAUUACUAGUGGAGGAAAGAAAAUAAUCUCUGCUUGGUUUUUUAAUGCAGAAAUAAAUCAUCUCUGUAAUUACGUCUUGGUUUUGUACUGCAAUGAUUUGAACAUUUCUCAUCACUACUUUGCUUUCUCGGUAACUUCAUGACGUGUCUUCAGCACUGAGAAAAAAUUAGGUCUUUGAAUGAACUGUUAACACAUUCUGUGAUUACAGUGAUGUCAACUUGAAAAACGCAGUUAGCCACAAUUAUCACAGUCAAUUUAGUAUGUAAUAUUCAUGCUCACCCACAAUUAAAAUGAACGUUGU
Molecule: long non-coding RNA, 1140 nt
Organism: Gasterosteus aculeatus aculeatus (three-spined stickleback)
Lineage: Eukaryota; Metazoa; Chordata; Actinopteri; Perciformes; Gasterosteidae
Source: Ensembl